CGCUGGCGGCGUGCUUAACACAUGCGAGUCGAACGAUGAAGCCUAGCUUGCUAGGUGGAUUAGUGGCGAACGGGUGAGUAAUACGUGAGUAACCUACCUUUAACUCUGGGAUAAGCCUGGGAAACUGGGUCUAAUACCGGAUACGACCAAUCUCCGCAUGGGGUGUUGGUGGAAAGCGUUAUGUAGUGGUUAUAGAUGGGCUCACGGCCUAUCAGCUUGUUGGUGAGGUAACGGCUCACCAAGGCGACGACGGGUAGCCGGCCUGAGAGGGUGACCGGCCACACUGGGACUGAGACACGGCCCAGACUCCUACGGGAGGCAGCAGUGGGGAAUAUUGCACAAUGGGCGCAAGCCUGAUGCAGCGACGCCGCGUGAGGGAUGACGGCCUUCGGGUUGUAAACCUCUGUUAGCAGGGAAGAAGAGAGAUUGACGGUACCUGCAGAGAAAGCGCCGGCUAACUACGUGCCAGCAGCCGCGGUAAUACGUAGGGCGCGAGCGUUGUCCGGAAUUAUUGGGCGUAAAGAGCUUGUAGGCGGUUUGUCGCGUCUGCUGUGAAGGCCGGAGCUUAACUCCGUGUAUUGCAGUGGGUACGGGCAGACUAGAGUGCAGUAGGGGAGGCUGGAAUUCCUGGUGUAGCGGUGGAAUGCGCAGAUAUCAGGAGGAACACCGAUGGCGAAGGCAGGUCUCUGGGCUGUAACUGACGCUGAGAAGCGAAAGCAUGGGGAGCGAACAGGAUUAGAUACCCUGGUAGUCCAUGCCGUAAACGUUGGGCACUAGGUGUGGGGGACAUUCCACGUUUUCCGCGCCGUAGCUAACGCAUUAAGUGCCCCGCCUGGGGAGUACGGCCGCAAGGCUAAAACUCAAAGAAAUUGACGGGGGCCCGCACAAGCGGCGGAGCAUGCGGAUUAAUUCGAUGCAACGCGAAGAACCUUACCAAGGCUUGACAUAUACUGGACCGCAUCAGAGAUGGUGUUUCCCUUCGGGGCUGGUAUACAGGUGGUGCAUGGUCGUCGUCAGCUCGUGUCGUGAGAUGUUGGGUUAAGUCCCGCAACGAGCGCAACCCUCGUUCUAUGUUGCCAGCACGUUAUGGUGGGGACUCAUAGGAGACUGCCGGGGUCAACUCGGAGGAAGGUGGGGAUGACGUCAAAUCAUCAUGCCCCUUAUGUCUUGGGCUUCACGCAUGCUACAAUGGCCGGUACAGAGGGUUGCGAUACUGUGAGGUGGAGCUAAUCCCUAAAAGCCGGUCUCAGUUCGGAUUGGGGUCUGCAACUCGACCCCAUGAAGUCGGAGUCGCUAGUAAUCGCAGAUCAGCAACGCUGCGGUGAAUACGUUCCCGGGCCU
Molecule: ribosomal RNA, 1341 nt
Filed under: uncultured bacterium
Lineage: Bacteria
Description: 16S ribosomal RNA
Rfam family: Bacterial small subunit ribosomal RNA
Source: RNAcentral